This 222-nucleotide ribosomal RNA is filed under the name uncultured bacterium. RNAcentral describes it as "partial 16S ribosomal RNA". It matches the Rfam family "Bacterial small subunit ribosomal RNA", at positions 114 to 334 of the family's 1533-position model. The record is from RNAcentral.
AACGUGGGCAACCUGCCCUGAAGCGGGGACGAACGUUCCGAAAGGGACGCUAAUACCGCAUGUGAACCCUUUAUGGCAUCAUAGAGUGUUCAAAGCCUUCGGGCACUUCAGGAUGGGCCCGCGGCCUAUCAGCUAGUUGGUGAGGUAACGGCUCACCAAGGCAACGACGGGUAGCUGGUCUGAGAGGACGAUCAGCCGGAUUGGGACUGAGAUACGGCCCAG